GACGAACACUGGCGGCGUGCCUAAUACAUGCAAGUUGAGCGCUGAAGGUUGGUACUUGUACCAACUGGAUGAGCAGCGAACGGGUGAGUAACGCGUGGGGAAUCUGCCUUUGAGCGGGGGACAACAUUUGGAAACGAAUGCUAAUACCGCAUAAAAACUUUAAACACAAGUUUUAAGUUUGAAAGAUGCAAUUGCAUCACUCAAAGAUGAUCCCGCGUUGUAUUAGCUAGUUGGUGAGGUAAAGGCUCACCAAGGCGAUGAUACAUAGCCGACCUGAGAGGGUGAUCGGCCACAUUGGGACUGAGACACGGCCCAAACUCCUACGGGAGGCAGCAGUAGGGAAUCUUCGGCAAUGGACGAAAGUCUGACCGAGCAACGCCGCGUGAGUGAAGAAGGUUUUCGGAUCGUAAAACUCUGUUGGUAGAGAAGAACGUUGGUGAGAGUGGAGAGCUCAUCAAGUGACGGUAACUACCCAGAAAGGGACGGCUAACUACGUG
RNAcentral lists this ribosomal RNA (497 nucleotides) under uncultured bacterium. RNAcentral describes it as "partial 16S ribosomal RNA". It matches the Rfam family "Bacterial small subunit ribosomal RNA", at positions 28 to 507 of the family's 1533-position model. The record is from RNAcentral.